AAAGUAUCAGGAUUCAAUCCCCCAUCCCGAUGGAUUUCUGUCUUGACUGCGCCCCCCCCCCUUCCUGGAUUUAACAGCAGCAAUACCUAAAACACGGAGGGAUCUAAGCUCGUGGCGUGGGGUGGGGGAGGGAAGGAUUUUGCAAUAUAAACAUUGUGGGGGGGGACACACCACUUUGCAGUAGGAUUGCCGGGAUCAGCCCCUCCCCCAUUCUCCUGAUUCUCAGGAGGAAGAGGGGAGGGGGGACACCUUCCUCUCCUCCCCGCCCCCCAAGUUCCACCCUUCCCAGACCCCGCCUCCGCAAAGCCCAAAUCCCCUCCCCAAUAUGUUGCUCCUCUUCCUCGCCAUCCGGCUCCUGCUUCGGGAAAGUGGGGGCGGGGUGAACCCCCCUCCCAACCUGCCUGCUUCUCCCGCAAGUGGAGCUUCUGCGCCGGAUUGCUGCUCUGCGCCGUAGCUCUAGGGGGGGGGCGCUUUCGGAAAGGGGAGGAGGGGCAGCAGGUAAAAUCCCCCCCCACCCACGUGGAUGUUGCAGGAAAGGAAAGGAGAAUCGGGAGCGAGGACAAAGAGGCAGUGUCAGACUGACAGACAAGCUGAGAUACAAUCCAUCAAAAUUCAAUGACAGCGGCUGCGUGAAUCUUCCCAGUCAAAGGACCCAUUUUCAUGAUAGACAGCCCCCGUGGCUGGAGGCUCAACCCCCAGGGUGUGCCUAUACAGGCCAAAGACUGCCAGCAUUAGCACAGGAUCAGGAUCCUCAGGAGCGUGUCCUGGUGGCCAGAUUAAGGCAGUGUCAGACUGACAGACAAGCUGAGAUACAAUCCAUCAAAAUUCAAUGA
RNAcentral lists this long non-coding RNA (833 nucleotides) under Podarcis muralis (Common wall lizard). RNAcentral's name for it is "lncRNA (ENSPMRG00000012762.1)". Lineage: Eukaryota; Metazoa; Chordata; Lepidosauria; Squamata; Lacertidae. The record is from RNAcentral.